AACUGCGAGUGAAGCGGGAAAAGCUCAAAUUUAAAAUCUGGCGGUCCUUGGCUGUCCGAGUUGUAAUUUAGAGAAGCGUCUUCCGCGCCGGACCGUGCACAAGUCUCCUGGAAUGGAGCGUCGUAGAGGGUGAGAAUCCCGUCUUUGGCAUGGACACCUGGUGCUUCUGUGAUGCGCUCUCGAAGAGUCGAGUUGUUUGGGAAUGCAGCUCAAAAUGGGUGGUGAACUCCAUCUAAAGCUAAAUAUUGGCGAGAGACCGAUAGCGAACAAGUACCGUGAGGGAAAGAUGAAAAGCACUUUGGAAAGAGAGUGAAACAGUACGUGAAAUUGUUGAAAGGGAAACGCUUGAAGUCAGUCGCGUCGACCGAGACUCAGCCUUGCCUUGGCUUGGUGUACUUCUCGGCUUGACGGGUCAGCGUCGAUUUUGCCCCUCGGAUAAUGGCAAGGGAAAGGUGGCACCUUUGCGGGUGUGUUAUAGUCUCCUGUCGCAUGUGAGGGGUGAGAUCGAGGAACUCAGUGCGCGCCUCUGGCGUCGGGGCCUUUUG
Molecule: ribosomal RNA, 545 nt
Filed under: Lactarius aurantiacopallens
Lineage: Eukaryota; Fungi; Basidiomycota; Agaricomycetes; Russulales; Russulaceae
Description: LSU rRNA
Rfam family: Eukaryotic large subunit ribosomal RNA
Source: RNAcentral